GAUGAACGCUGGCGGCGUGCUUAACACAUGCAAGUCGAACGGAAAGGUCCUGCUUUUGCGGCUUGCUCGAGUGGCGAACGCGUGUGUAACACGCGUGUAUCCCCCACCUGACUUUGGGAUAACUUCAGGAAACUGGGGCUAAUACCGGAUAUGAGCUUCUGCACCAUGUUGGUGUAUGGAAAGUUUGGGCGGUGCUGGCUAGACUCGCUGCUCAUGCGCUGGUUGGUGGGGUAGUGGCUUACCAAGGCUGUGAGGGGUAGCCGACCUAGGAGGGGUAACGGGCACAAUGGGACUGAGGUACGGCGCAGACUGCUACGGGACGCAGCAGUGGGGAAUAUUGCACAAUGGGCGGAAGCCUGAUGCAGCAGCGCCGCGUGCGGGAUGACGGGCUUCGAGUGGUGAACAGAUUUCGCCGGUAACGUAGCGUGAGUGACGGUAAUGGGUAAGGAAGCACCGGCUAACUACGUG
This 468-nucleotide ribosomal RNA is filed under the name uncultured bacterium. RNAcentral's name for it is "partial 16S ribosomal RNA". It matches the Rfam family "Bacterial small subunit ribosomal RNA", at positions 28 to 507 of the family's 1533-position model. The record is from RNAcentral.